Xyrichtys novacula (pearly razorfish) is the source of this 230-nucleotide non-coding RNA. The record is from the annotation of a GenBank genome assembly. Lineage: Eukaryota; Metazoa; Chordata; Actinopteri; Labriformes; Labridae.
GUGGCCGAGAACCGCCACUGCUGCAAAUAAAAAAAAAGAAUGCAAAAAAAAGAAGUCACAACCGAAGUUACAUAUGCACAAAAAAAAAGAAAGAAAUGGUGCAGGAAAAAAAAAAGCCACAACGGAAGUAAACGACACAAAAACUUUUGCAUCGGUAACUAAAGUUGUGGCUUCUUUUUUUUUUUUUUUGCAUUCUUUUUUUAUUUGCAGCAGUGGUGGUUCUCAGCCAC